CUCUAUCGUGCCCUCAUUGUACAUGCUGUGUGAAUUUGUCACAUACACAGCGCAUGCAAUGUGGACAUAAUGGAG
Non-coding RNA from Taeniopygia guttata (zebra finch), 75 nucleotides. The record is from Rfam. NCBI's taxonomy places the organism in Eukaryota, Metazoa, Chordata, Aves, Passeriformes, Estrildidae.